GAUGAACGUUGGCGGUGUGCCUAAUACAUGCAAGUCGAACGGAGUUAAUAGCAAUAUUGACUUAGUGGCAACGGGUGAGUAACGCGUUGGUGAUCUGCCUUGAAGUGUGGAAUAACGCUCCGAAAGGAGCGCUAAUACCGCAUGUGCUCUCAAUUUUUAGAAACUUGAGAGGAAAGGAUUUAUUCGCUUCGAGAGGAGCCUGCGUCCCAUCAGCUGGUUGGUAGGGUAAAGGCCUACCAAGGCAAUGACGGGUAGGGGACCUGAGAGGGUGGCCCCCCACAAUGGAACUGAAACACGGUCCAUACACCUACGGGUGGCAGCAGUAGGGAAUAUUAGAAAUGGACGAAAGUCUGAUCUAGCAACACCGCGUGUGCGAAGAAGGCCUUCGGGUCGUAAAGCACUUUUUGGAAGGAAUAGGAAGGAAUGUACUUCCAGAAUAAGUCUCGGCUAACUACGUG
RNAcentral lists this ribosomal RNA (458 nucleotides) under uncultured bacterium. Its description in RNAcentral is "bacterial SSU rRNA". It matches the Rfam family "Bacterial small subunit ribosomal RNA", at positions 28 to 507 of the family's 1533-position model. The record is from RNAcentral.